Molecule: ribosomal RNA, 393 nt
Filed under: uncultured bacterium
Lineage: Bacteria
Description: partial 16S ribosomal RNA
Rfam family: Bacterial small subunit ribosomal RNA
Source: RNAcentral
AUACGUCGGGGGCGAGCGUUGUCCGGAAUGAUUGGGCGUAAAGGGCGCGUAGGCGGCGCGGUAAGUCUGGAGUGAAAGUCCUGCUUUCAAGGUGGGAAUUGCUUUGGAUACUGCCGCGCUUGCGUGCAGGAGAGGUUAUCGGAAUUCCCGGUGUAGCGGUGCAAUGCGUAGAGAUCGGGAGGAACACCAGUGGCGAAGGCGGGUAACUGGACUGCAACUGACGCUGAGGCGCGAAAGUGUGGGGAGCAAACAGGAUUAGAUACCCUGGUAGUCCACACUGUAAACGAUGGGCGCUCGUCGUCGGCGGCAGACAGUCGGCGGCCAAGCGAAAGCGAUAAGCGCCCCACCUGGGGAGUACGGUCGCAAGGCUGAAACUUAAAGGAAUUGGCGGGG